RNAcentral lists this ribosomal RNA (495 nucleotides) under uncultured bacterium. RNAcentral describes it as "bacterial SSU rRNA". It matches the Rfam family "Bacterial small subunit ribosomal RNA", at positions 903 to 1397 of the family's 1533-position model. The record is from RNAcentral.
AAAUGAAUAGACGGGGACCCGCACAAGCAGCGGAGCAUGUGGUUUAAUUCGAAGCAACGCGAAGAACCUUACCAGGUCUUGACAUCUCUCUGACCGAUCCUUAGCCGGAUCUUUCCUUCGGGACAGAGAUGACAGGUGGUGCAUGGUUGUCGUCAGCUCGUGUCGUGAGAUGUUGGGUUAAGUCCCGCAACGAGCGCAACCCUUGUGUUUAGUUGCCAACAGGUAAAGCUGUGCACUCUAAACAGACUGCCGUGGAUAACACGGAGGAAGGUGGGGAUGACGUCAAAUCAUCAUGCCCCUUAUGAUCUGGGCUACACACGUGCUACAAUGGUCGGUACAACGGGCAGCGAAAGAGUAAUCUGGAGCGAAUCCUAAAAAGCCGAUCCCAGUUCGGAUUGUGGGCUGAAACUCGCCCACAUGAAGUUGGAGUUGCUAGUAAUCGCGAAUCAGAAUGUCGCGGUGAAUGCGUUCCCGGGUCUUGCACACACCGCCCGU